AGGGAAUCUUCGGCAAUGGACGGAAGUCUGACCGAGCAACGCCGCGUGAGUGAAGAAGGUUUUCGGAUCGUAAAGCUCUGUUGUAAGAGAAGAACGAGUGUGAGAGUGGAAAGUUCACACUGUGACGGUAUCUUACCAGAAAGGGACGGCUAACUACGUGCCAGCAGCCGCGGUAAUACGUAGGUCCCGAGCGUUGUCCGGAUUUAUUGGGCGUAAAGCGAGCGCAGGCGGUUAGAUAAGUCUGAAGUUAAAGGCUGUGGCUUAACCAUAGUACGCUUUGGAAACUGUUUAACUUGAGUGCAAGAGGGGAGAGUGGAAUUCCAUGUGUAGCGGUGAAAUGCGUAGAUAUAUGGAGGAACACCGGUGGCGAAAGCGGCUCUCUGGCUUGUAACUGACGCUGAGGCUCGAAAGCGCGGGGAGCAAACAGGAUUAGAUACCCUGGUAGUCCACGCUGUAAACGAUGAGUGCUAGGUGUUAGACCCUUUCCGGGGUUUAGUGCCGUAGCUAACGCAUUAAGCACUCCGCCUGGGGAGUACGACCGCAAGGUUG
RNAcentral lists this ribosomal RNA (549 nucleotides) under uncultured bacterium. RNAcentral describes it as "bacterial SSU rRNA". It matches the Rfam family "Bacterial small subunit ribosomal RNA", at positions 356 to 896 of the family's 1533-position model. The record is from RNAcentral.